AGGGCUAUUGUCUAAUUUUGACACAUUAAGUGAUCAACAUAGUUUUGAUGAUCACUGAACUUUGAUGUCCACUAAAAAUUUAAAGAUUUGGUAUUGCGUAUCUUAGUAAGUGGACAUCAUGUCACGGUGUAUUACGGUGCUUAUCAACGAUUACACCGAACGUCACUAUUUUUUAUCGACAUUAUGCAGCCAAAUUAAAAAUAUAUACAUUUGGUCGUACAUUCCAUAAAUACGUGAGCAUAUUUAAAUCUUACGUGUUAUAUUAACCGGAACACUUGGGAUUUGAAAUGUUUACUCUAUAUGGCGCUAAAUUCAUAACACUUGAAUUUUGGUCUGUCUACAAUUACAAUAAUUUUGGUCGUCGUUUUGUGUACACAAGUGUAUUUGAAAGUUAGAAACAGUAACAAAUGAAUAAAACUGAGUAAGCCAAGAUGAGAGAGUGCCUCGUUGGGCCUAUGAGUUGGAAAGCAAGUGAUUGGCUGUUGAGGAAAGGCAUACAGCUGCUAUAGAAAAAUUAGCUGCAUCACUUACCAAGAUACAGGAAGAUAUACAUAUAUAUAUUAGUAAAUUAAAAUGAUUUUAAAUAG
Molecule: long non-coding RNA, 587 nt
Organism: Colias croceus (clouded yellow)
Lineage: Eukaryota; Metazoa; Arthropoda; Insecta; Lepidoptera; Pieridae
Exons: 2
Source: RefSeq, a predicted model, not a curated record